AUAGAGCUUCCGCCCCUCCGCCCCAGCUCUCGAAAGGCAGAGAGACAGAGCUGCACCGGCGCUACACGUGCAUAGAGGCACUGAACGUGGACGUCUUCUCUACACAAUAUGUAGGCGUACUUGCCACUGGAAAUGCACGGCGAGUCGGUUUUAGAAUGGUGCAGCGUCGUUAGCGGGCCGAUUCGCGAGCUGCUGCAGCCGUUGAGCGGCAGGUCCCACAGCAGCAAGGAUGAGGCACUGGCGUACGUCGUACCGCGAAUGGCCGGCACUGCCAUCCCACUACGCUGUGCCGAUGUGCUGGCACGCUACGCAUCGAGUGCAGUGCACGCCGUCUCCAAGGUUCUCACGCCCGUACAAGACUUCUCGUCUGUAGGCACAGCGCAGUGAAAUCGCGAUUCUGGCAGCGCUGCUGUAGUCACUCAGCUCACCCUUUAAAGCAGGCCUCUCGAUCCUGAAGCGCUGCGUGUGCGCACGACUACCCAUAACUACUGCAGCUCGGCCCCCAUCUCACUACACGUGUGCGUGUAAUCGGCCAAUGCGACUGCGGAGCAUACCCACACUUUCUUUCUCAUGCACAGGCGCUUCGGGCUUACGGCCGAAGGCAGUCGUUCCGAAGGUCGUGCGCUUGUCUCGUCUCCUUAUCUGCUUUCUCUUCUUCUCUGUGUGUUGUGUUCUGUGAGGGCGCGAGCUGCUUUUGUGGCGUCUUUGUGCAGCGGUACGUCUGAGGGGUGUAGUGUGCCUCCCACUUUUUCGAGCCGACCCCCUUCCCCCGUACGACCUUCACUGGCACACACACACAUGUGCAGCCGCUGCUGAUGCACGCCAGCAAAUUAUCAGGCCAUGCGCUUGACCACGCUCAAGAGCGGCACGUGAGGACAUCGCACACACGGCUUUUCCCCUCUCUGUCUCACUUUCUUACAGACGCACCACAGGGUGCAUCUCAGCUGACGAGACGCGAAAAAGCAACCUGUGCAGCGACAGCGGCGGAGGCGCGUUAAGCGCCGCACGCCCUCCUUCUCAAAGCAGAAGCGAGCGUAAGCGACCUACAACGCACAUUUUGCAGAGAGAACGAAACACCAAGAUGUGCUGACCCUUUUAUGGGGCAUACGCCCGUGCGCGAUGCUGUGUGCGUGCGCCUGUGCUGUCUUAUCGUUCUAUCGCACGUCUUCUAUGCUGUGUGCCCUCGUCGUCCUUUCUUCUUCCCCUGCUUCCCUCUAUCACACCUAUCUAUCCAUCUUUCUUCCCCUCUCCCCAUCCCACCGGUCUCGACUCGUGCGUUUUCCUGCCUUUGGUCUGUUGCUCUUUGUGUGUGCUGGGACAG
This 1321-nucleotide unclassified non-coding RNA is filed under the name Leishmania donovani. RNAcentral's name for it is "gene:LdHU3.21.1010(CDS-product:hypothetical_prote in)". Lineage: Eukaryota; Euglenozoa; Kinetoplastea; Trypanosomatida; Trypanosomatidae. The record is from RNAcentral.